This 525-nucleotide ribosomal RNA is filed under the name Triticum aestivum (bread wheat). Its description in RNAcentral is "partial small subunit ribosomal RNA". The record is from RNAcentral. Lineage: Eukaryota; Viridiplantae; Streptophyta; Magnoliopsida; Poales; Poaceae.
AUGUCUGCAGGACGCUCUCAGCACACGGCUACCUCGAGCAUGCGGCGCCGGCAGGAGGCCGAGCGCGCCGUGGCAGAGGAGCGUGAGCGAGCGGCUGUAGCAGCAGCUGCUGCGGCGGCAAGGGUGUCGAGGCUGGCUGCAGCGGAGCUGGCAGCAGCCAGAGCGGAGGUAGAAGCAGCCAAGGCGGAGGUAGAAGCAGCAGCAGCAGAAGCAGCCCGUGAGGCUACGGCGGAUGCCAAGGCACUCCGCGGCGGCCCCGGCAGCUCCAGCAGCUCCGCGCCUGCGGACGACGGCGCCGACGCAGAUCGCGCCAAAGUGGCGCAGGAGCGGACGGCGCAGUGGGCAGCCGAGCACGCCCGCGCUCCAGGUGGAGGCGCGCACCGCGACGGCGGCUGCAACGACCAGGACCGCGGCCUCCACGAGGUCCGGACUGUGGUCAGGGAUGUUGGUCCCAGUGUUGGGUGGCCUACCCUCACUAAAACCAACUACGUCGAGUGGGCCGGGAUCAUGAAGGUCAGGCUCUAG